This 834-nucleotide long non-coding RNA is filed under the name Pan troglodytes (chimpanzee). Its description in RNAcentral is "long non-coding RNA NONPTRT012435". Lineage: Eukaryota; Metazoa; Chordata; Mammalia; Primates; Hominidae. The record is from RNAcentral.
GGGAAAUACAGUCUGGUUUUGCCCCCCGUAUGAAUUGAGGGAAGGUCAAGGAUGCAUUCCAGGAAAGUUCUAUAAAAAUAUACCAUCAACUCCAACCUGAUAUUUGACCUAGCCAUGGAAAACCUCAUUGGCUCCUCACUGGAUCAGACCAUAAAAAUGAUCCAGGAAUGAAAAUCUAAGAUAAAUUCCCACCACUUCAAGAUGUUCUUAUACAAGUCAACAGUCUAGCAGAUCAGCCAGUCUCUUUCAUCAUCAAGCAGACAUACUCAAGAAAGAGGAAUAGUGAAGUGAAAUACACAGAAGCAUGUUCAAGUUCAUCUGUUGAAUCUGGAAUUGUGAAUAGUGACAAUAUUGAGAAAAAUACUGACUCCAAUCUGCAAACUUCAACUUCAUUUGAGCCACAUUUCAAAAAGAAAAAAAAGAAAAAUUUGAAACAUUAAGGGAAAACAGUUGGGUAAAAGAUCCAUUUGCUUUUCGAAACCCUGAAUCAAUAAUUGAGCUAAACUUGGUGCCUGAAGAAGAGAAUGAAUUAUUGCAGCUUAGUUCUUCAUAUACAUUGAAGAAUGAUUAUGAAACCUUAAGUUUAUCAGCAUUUUGGAUGAAGGUAAAGGAAGACUUUCCAUUGUUAAGUAGAAAGAGUGUCCUGCUAUUGCUACCAUUCACAACAACUAGUUUGUGUGAACUAGGGUUUUCCAUCUUAACGCAGUUAAAAACAAAGGAAAGAAAUGGGCUGAAUUGUGCAGCAGCUAUGCGGGUAGCAUUAUCUUCCUGUGUUCCAGACUGGAAUGAACUUAUGAACAGGCAAGCACACCCAUCAUAGUAAAUAAAAAUCUU